This 498-nucleotide ribosomal RNA is filed under the name uncultured bacterium. Its description in RNAcentral is "bacterial SSU rRNA". It matches the Rfam family "Bacterial small subunit ribosomal RNA", at positions 899 to 1397 of the family's 1533-position model. The record is from RNAcentral.
ACUCAAAGGAAUUGACGGGGGCCCGCACAAGCAGUGGAGUAUGUGGUUUAAUUCGAUGCAACGCGAAGAACCUUACCAAGGCUUGACAUGCAGACCGACACGUUAGAGAUAAUGUGGCCCUUCGGGGGGUCUGCACAGGUGGUGCAUGGUUGUCGUCAGCUCGUGUCGUGAGAUGUUGGGUUAAGUCCCGCAACGAGCGCAACCCCUGCAGCCAGUUGCCAACGCGUGAAGGCGUGCACUCUGGCAGGACUGCCGGUGACAAAUCGGAGGAAGGUGGGGACGACGUCAAAUCAUCAUGCCCCUUAUGUCUUGGGCUACACACGUACUACAAUGGGCGCAACAGAGGGAAGCCAUCCCGCAAGGGUGAGCGGAUCCCUAAAAGGCGCUCUCAGUUCGGAUUGUGGGCUGCAACCCGCCCACAUGAAGUCGGAAUUGCUAGUAAUCGCAGGUCAGCAUACUGCGGUGAAUACGUUCCCGGGCCUUGUACACACCGCCCGU